RNAcentral lists this ribosomal RNA (492 nucleotides) under uncultured bacterium. RNAcentral's name for it is "partial 16S ribosomal RNA". It matches the Rfam family "Bacterial small subunit ribosomal RNA", at positions 29 to 507 of the family's 1533-position model. The record is from RNAcentral.
AGUGAACGCUGGCGGUAGGCCUAACACAUGCAAGUCGAACGGCAGCACAGUAAGAGCUUGCUCUUACGGGUGGCGAGUGGCGGACGGGUGAGGAAUACAUCGGAAUCUACUUUUUCGUGGGGGAUAACGUAGGGAAACUUACGCUAAUACCGCAUACGACCUACGGGUGAAAGCAGGGGAUCUUCGGACCUUGCGCGAUUGAAUGAGCCGAUGUCGGAUUAGCUAGUUGGCGGGGUAAAGGCCCACCAAGGCGACGAUCCGUAGCUGGUCUGAGAGGAUGGUAAGCCACACUGGAACGGGGACACGGUCCAGACUCCUACGGGAGGCAGCAGUGGGGAAUAUUGGACAAUGGGCGCAAGCCUGAUCCAGCCAUACCGCGUGGGUGAAGAAGGCCUUCGGGUUGUAAAGCCCUUUUGUUGGGAAAGAAAAGCAGCAGGUUAAUACCCCGCUGUUCUGACGGUACCCAAAGAAUAAGCACCGGCUAACUUCGUG